Molecule: ribosomal RNA, 502 nt
Filed under: uncultured bacterium
Lineage: Bacteria
Description: partial 16S ribosomal RNA
Rfam family: Bacterial small subunit ribosomal RNA
Source: RNAcentral
AUUGAACGCUGGCGGCAGGCUUAACACAUGCAAGUCGAGCGGGGUGAUGGUGCUUGCACUAUCACUUAGCGGCGGACGGGUGAGUAAUGCUUAGGAAUCUGCCUAUUAGUGGGGGACAACAUCUCGAAAGGGAUGCUAAUACCGCAUACGUCCUACGGGAGAAAGCAGGGGAUCACUUGUGACCUUGCGCUAAUAGAUGAGCCUAAGUCGGAUUAGCUAGUUGGUGGGGUAAAGGCCUACCAAGGCGACGAUCUGUAGCGGGUCUGAGAGGAUGAUCCGCCACACUGGGACUGAGACAAGGCCCAGCCUCCUACGGGAGGCAGCAGUGGGGAAUAUUGGACAAUGGGGGGAACCCUGAUCCAGCCAUGCCGCGUGUGUGAAGAAGGCCUUAUGGUUGUAAAGCACUUUAAGCGAGGAGGAGGCUCUUUUGGUUAAUACCCAAGAUGAGUGGACGUUACUCGCAGAAUAGCACCGGCUAACUCUGUGCCAGCCGCCGCCGUAA